This is an RNA transcript of Ornithodoros turicata, 1648 nucleotides long. RefSeq lists it as uncharacterized. The record is from RefSeq and is a predicted model, not a curated record. The transcript has 8 exons. Lineage: Eukaryota; Metazoa; Arthropoda; Arachnida; Ixodida; Argasidae.
ACAGUGAGGCCUAGCGAAUAGCAUGUAAUGUGGAUAUAUGACCGUUUAAGUGUUCGAACAAAGAAAGGUGUGUUUCCGAACUGUGCGUUUCCUCGAAAGGCCUUUAUUUGCCGUGGUUGUUGGUCAUUAACAGGGACAACAGGCGAAAUUCGUGAUACAUGUUACUGCCUGUGUAUCACUCCUACCUUGUUCCGUCGUUUGCGCGUUAUAACAAUGCAACAAUGUAGGAAAGCGUCGUAAACUGUUAGUGUUUUCAUCAAGGCACACAGGUAUAUGUAAGAAGAAAAAAUAAAUUUUGGGUCGCAGGUCCACUUGGGGCGAGCGAAGACGACGACGAUUUAGGGCAUCUACUGAUUGCGGAACAAGAUUUGUUUCGUGAGCAUCUGCCUCACUUGGGCACCACGACUUGCUUCUGUAAUUCUUCUACUAUGUUCUCUUAAUCUGAUGCCACCAUACUUUUGCAGGAUCACUUUUGCCAGUGAAAUUAUGUGAUCAGGCUCCUCUGCAUAGUGCUGGCACAGUGGUAGCUUGUCACCGUGUGUUAGGAUGAAGAGAUUAAACGAUUUCAAAACGAUCGCCCGCACUACAAGCUUCACAGACCUCAAUUUCUCUAGACGAAAGGUCUGCUGUGUAACAAAGGAGGAUGGUUUAACCAGCCCUCCAUUGUCCCUGAGCAUGAUGAGAACACUUGAUGUCUCGUCAUCUAGGAGUGUGUCCAAACAACCAUUACAGGCGCAACAUUCGCAGAGCUUGGGGCCUGAACUUCAGCGUGUAUCAGAAGCUUCCUCUGAAGAACAGUUCCAAGUGGUCCUGGCUGAGGCGACCUCUACAUGUUACCUGCAUGCGCCCGCCUGGAACAGCGCUUCUGCCAGCUGUGCAACACUUUUUAGCGUAAAGGCCACGCUGAUGACUGACAUGCGUGUCCCAUGCUGAGCAGCUAGCUCCCCGGAUGGAAGUCGCAGUGUCAUCAUUCUUGACGACAAUCUUUAGUGGCCACAGUCAUGAAAAUGAAAGGCCUACUCAUCUACGUCGGCAAUGAACGAAGCGGUUGCGUCACUUCCUUCAAAUUCGGUCAAUCCCAGGAGCCGUGCGUGGGUCAGGGCUUUGCUCACGGAUGAACUUAGAGUCUGCGCUACAAGGCGGACCUUCAUGAUCUGGCGGCCAAACUCAAUAUGGGAUCUGGGUCAGUUGCAGCCGUCGACGGACACCACGCAGGUACUGGUUCUUCUCUCGAAGUUGUCUCAUUCCUGUUCUUGGCGUUGUUUUGCUGUGCAGCAGAAGAACCUGACAGCAGAAAGCAGCAGGAAUAAGAAAUGACAUACAGACAUAUACUCACUGCAUUCCGCUUUUGUGGCAGCUUACAGUAGGGAUGGUCCUCAUGGUCAAACAGGCAGUGGAACAGCUGGAGAAGGGACGGCGGGCUCUGCUUGCUCAGCACUGGCUUCAAGCAUUUCCUGGAAAACAUGCAGUGAAGGCAGUCAUACAGGGGGGUGGCUGCACAAACUACUAUGUACUUACCAGGGAAACUGUGUCAGCACCACUUUCAUCUCUUUCAUCUGGCUGGAUGGCUGUUACUUGGCUCUAAAAAAGUUCUUCCAUUAUUAUCUCCUUUUGUAUCAUUUUAAAAGUAAUAAAGAAUAACCGGAUA